UUACCUCAGUAACGGCGAGUGAAGCGGUAACAGCUCAAAUUUGAAAUCUGGCUCUUUUAGGGUCCGAGUUGUAAUUUGUAGAAGAUGCUUUGGGCGUGGCUCCGGUCUAAGUUCCUUGGAACAGGACGUCAUAGAGGGUGAGAAUCCCGUAUGUGACUGGUAGCUUUCGCCCGUGUAAAGCUCUUUCGACGAGUCGAGUUGUUUGGGAAUGCAGCUCAAAAUGGGUGGUAAAUUUCAUCUAAAGCUAAAUAUUGGCCAGAGACCGAUAGCGCACAAGUAGAGUGAUCGAAAGAUGAAAAGCACUUUGGAAAGAGAGUUAAACAGUACGUGAAAUUGUUGAAAGGGAAGCGCUUGCAACCAGACUCGCAGGCCGUCGAUCAUCCGGGGUUCUCCCCGGUGCACUCGGCGGUUUUCGGGCCAGCAUCGGUUUGGGUGGUGGGAUAAAGGCCUUGGGAAUGUAGCUUCUUUCGGGGAGUGUUAUAGCCCUCGGUGCAAUGCCGCCUACCCGGACCGAGGACCGCGCUUCGGCUAGGAUGCUGGCGUAAUGGUUGUAAGCGACCCGUCUUGAAACACGGACCAAGGAGUCUAACAUCUAUGCGAGUAUUUGGGUGUUAAACCCAUAUGCGUAAUGAAAGUGAACGGAGGUGAGAACCCUUAAGGGUGCAUCAUCGACCGAUCCUGAUGUCUUCGGAUGGAUUUGAGUAAGAGCAUAGCUGUUGGGACCCGAAAGAUGGUGAACUAUGUCUAAAUAGGGUGAAGCCAGAGGAAACUCUGGUGGAGGCUCGCAGCGGUUCUGACGUGCAAAUCGAUCGUCAAAUUUGGGUAUAGGGGCGAAAGACUAAUCGAACCAUCUAGUAGCUAGGAUGCUGCGAG
RNAcentral lists this ribosomal RNA (873 nucleotides) under Lachnellula occidentalis. Its description in RNAcentral is "LSU rRNA". It matches the Rfam family "Eukaryotic large subunit ribosomal RNA", at positions 75 to 965 of the family's 3401-position model. The record is from RNAcentral. Lineage: Eukaryota; Fungi; Ascomycota; Leotiomycetes; Helotiales; Lachnaceae.